Molecule: long non-coding RNA, 650 nt
Organism: Hipposideros armiger (great roundleaf bat)
Lineage: Eukaryota; Metazoa; Chordata; Mammalia; Chiroptera; Hipposideridae
Exons: 3
Source: RefSeq, a predicted model, not a curated record
GCCCUGCUUUCGCGACGCAGCUGAGGGGCGGGGCCGCGGAGGGAGGCGGGAAGCCAGAAGAGUUUCGGAGAGACUAGAGACCCAUCUCCUAUUAUAGUGGAAGGGAAGGAGGAAACAAGAUGGCUAUGGAAGCAGGUAGUGCUCAGGUACCCAGGUGUAACACGUUUUAUUUUCCAAAGAUGGCGAUGACAGUAUCUCCCAUCUUAUAUUUUCUUCUUACGAUGUGAUCAUGAUAUUCCUCCCAUUAAGAGAUGGGGUGUAUGUCCCUCCAUUUGAAUCAUGGCAGACUGAUCUGGCAUGUCAUUGUGUGUCUUCUGAGGCUAGGUCCUAAAAGGCAAUAUAACCUCUGCCUGGUUCUCUAGGAACAUUUGCUUUUGGAACUCAGCAGCCAUGCUGUGAGGAAGCCCAAACUACCCUAAGUAGUAGUGAGACCACAUGGAGAGAACAUGUAUAGCUAUUCCAGACCACAGCCCAGCUGAAACCAAAGCCAGUUACCAGGAAAACCCACCAAACACGUGAAUGAAGAGAAUUCCAGUUGAUUUCGACCCCAGCUGUUGCGUCAUCUCCAGCCUUUGAGGCUUUCCAGCUGAGGCCCCAGACCUCAUGGAGCUGUCUCCUCUGUACUCUUUUUGAAUUCCUGACCCACAGAA